Hevea brasiliensis (rubber tree) is the source of this 703-nucleotide long non-coding RNA. RefSeq lists it as uncharacterized. The record is from RefSeq and is a predicted model, not a curated record. NCBI's taxonomy places the organism in Eukaryota, Viridiplantae, Streptophyta, Magnoliopsida, Malpighiales, Euphorbiaceae. The transcript has 2 exons.
UGAGCCUUCAGGCAAAAGGGAAGUCAGUGAAUAUAAAAAUUAUAUGGAGAGGGGAAAUUUGCCAUUGGAAGUGUAUAAAGCACAGAUGAUUGGUGAGGUGGCUUUGCUUCAUCUACUACAAGGGAAAAAUGGCUUGAAAAUGACAUUGCACCAAUGCCCAAAUGUGUGAAUUGCAUGAUUGCCCUACAAGGGAAUGCGAAAAAUUUGUCUUAGCAACAGUGGCCUUAUUAAGUUCACCCUUGUCUAAGCAAACUACACAGUUUUUUCUGUUUUUUUCCCUUUUCCCUCCCAUUCUCUCACUUACAUGAGCCACACCCACCUCUCCAAAUGGGGUGGCUGCAAUCACUCCUCUCUCCAUUGAAGAAGCUGUGGUUUCGUAUGCAUUCAAAUCCUAAAAAGAGAAGAGGGAUAUACAUUCUAUAUGAGGAUGUGAAAUCUUGUCCCUAUGAAGAUGUUCAUGUCCUAUGGUCAAUACUAGUGGAAUCAAAUGCACCUUCCUUGCCAUCAAAACAAUGAAGGCGUAUACUCAGUACAGAGUUUACAAAAAUUUAAUGAGAGAUGUCCAGUCAAUUUCAUGUACAUAAAAUAUUUAUGAUGUUUAAUAUACUCUGGUGAAAAGGCCUUUUUGUUUUCUAUUUUUGCCUUCUAAGUUUCUUGUCAUCUCAGUUACAAACUAUACUAGAACAUCACUUUCCUUGUUUCA